UGUGAUGGGGAGCGAAAUUUAGUAGCGAAGUAGCUGAUUUCACACUGUCAAGAAAAGUCUCUAUCGAGGUUAAAGGUACCCGUACCGCAAACCGACACAGGGGGGUGAGGAGAGUAUCCUAAGGCCAGCGAGAGAACUGUUGUUAAGGAACUCGGCAAAAUGACCCCGUAACUUAGGGAUAAGGGGUGCCACCAUCAGGUGGCCGCAGAGAAUAGGCCCAAGCGACUGUUUACCAAAAACAUAGGUUUCUGCUAAGUCGCAAGACGAUGUAUAGGAGCUGACGCC
RNAcentral lists this ribosomal RNA (285 nucleotides) under Clostridioides difficile. RNAcentral describes it as "partial 23S ribosomal RNA". It matches the Rfam family "Bacterial large subunit ribosomal RNA", at positions 1562 to 1859 of the family's 2925-position model. The record is from RNAcentral. Lineage: Bacteria; Bacillati; Bacillota; Clostridia; Peptostreptococcales; Peptostreptococcaceae.